UUGGAGGGCAAGUCUGGUGCCAGCAGCCGCGGUAAUUCCAGCUCCAAUAGCGUAUAUUAAAGUUGUUGCAGUUAAAAAGCUCGUAGUUGAAUUUCGGGGUCAGUAGGUUGGUCAUGCCACUGGUAUGUACUGAUCUUACUGAUUCCUCCUUCCUGAUGAACCGUAAUGCCAUUAAUUUGGUGUUGCGGGGAGACUGGACUGUUACUUUGAGAAAAUUAGAGUGUUUAAAGCAGGCUAACGCUUGAAUACAUUAGCAUGGAAUAAUGAAAUAGGACGUUCGAUCCUAUUUUGUUGGUUUCUAGGAUAGACGUAAUGAUUAAUAGGGAUAGUUGGGGGCAUUAGUAUUCAAUUGUCAGAGGUGAAAUUCUUGGAUUUAUUGAAGACUAACUACUGCGAAAGCAUUUGCCAAGGAUGUUUUCAUUAAUCAAGAACGAAAGUUAGGGGAUCGAAGACGAUCAGAUACCGUCGUAGUCUUAACCAUAAACUAUGCCGACUAGGGAUCGGAUGAUGUUAAUUUUUUAAUGACUCAUUCGGCGCCUUACGGGAAAC
RNAcentral lists this ribosomal RNA (549 nucleotides) under uncultured Glomus. Its description in RNAcentral is "SSU rRNA". It matches the Rfam family "Eukaryotic small subunit ribosomal RNA", at positions 548 to 1098 of the family's 1831-position model. The record is from RNAcentral. Lineage: Eukaryota; Fungi; Glomeromycota; Glomeromycetes; Glomerales; Glomeraceae.